This 316-nucleotide ribosomal RNA is filed under the name uncultured marine organism. Its description in RNAcentral is "bacterial SSU rRNA". It matches the Rfam family "Bacterial small subunit ribosomal RNA", at positions 401 to 774 of the family's 1533-position model. The record is from RNAcentral.
GUGAGGAGAUGGUUGUGGCCAGUAACCUCUUUUAUAGGGAAGAAUUCUGACGGUACCUAUUGAAUAAGCAUCGGCUAACUCCGUGCCAGCAGCCGCGGUAAUACGGAGGAUGCAAGCGUUAUCCGGAAUUAUUCUGUUAAAUACUCAGGCUUAACUUGGGAGUUGCAGUUGAAACUGAUUGACUAGAGUACGGUAGGGGUAGAGGGAAUUCCUAGUGUAGCGGUGAAAUGCGUAGAUAUUAGGAAGAACACCAGUGGCGAAGGCGCUCUACUGGGCCUGUACUGACACUGAGGGACGAAAGCUAGGGGAGCGAAAG